Molecule: ribosomal RNA, 253 nt
Filed under: uncultured bacterium
Lineage: Bacteria
Description: partial 16S ribosomal RNA
Rfam family: Bacterial small subunit ribosomal RNA
Source: RNAcentral
UACGUAGGGGCCUAGCGUUGUCCGGAUUUAUUGGGCGUAAAGAGCUCGUAGGCGGCUUGUCGCGUCGGAUGUGAAAGCCCGGGGCUUAACUCCGGGUCUGCAUUCGAUACGGGCAGGCUAGAGUUCGGUAGGGGAGAUCGGAAUUCCUGGUGUAGCGGUGAAAUGCGCAGAUAUCAGGAGGAACACCGGUGGCGAAGGCGGAUCUCUGGGCCGAUACUGACGCUGAGGAGCGAAAGCGUGGGGAGCGAACAGG